CAUGGUGGAACUAUUAAAGAAUUUCGGUCAUCGAUGGGGAUGCGUUCCAUUAGGUUGUUGGCGGGGUAACGGCCCACCAAGCCUUCGAUGGAUAGGGGUUCUGAGAGGAAGGUCCCCCACAUUGGAACUGAGACACGGUCCAAACUCCUACGGGAGGCAGCAGUGAGGAAUAUUGGUCAAUGGACGAGAGUCUGAACCAGCCAAGUAGCGUGAAGGAUGACUGCCCUAUGGGUUGUAAACUUCUUUUAUACGGGAAUAAAGUGAGGCACGUGUGCCUUUUUGUAUGUACCGUAUGAAUAAGGAUCGGCUAACUCCGUGCCAGCAGCCGCGGUAAUACGGAGGAUCCGAGCGUUAUCCGGAUUUAUUGGGUUUAAAGGGAGCGUAGGCGGACGCUUAAGUCAGUUGUGAAAGUUUGCGGCUCAACCGUAAAAUUGCAGUUGAUACUGGGUGUCUUGAGUACAGUAGAGGCAGGCGGAAUUCGUGGUGUAGCGGUGAAAUGCUUAGAUAUCACGAAGAACUCCGAUUGCGAAGGCAGCUUGCUGGACUGUAACUGACGCUGAUGCUCGAAAGUGUGGGUAUCAAACAGGAUUAGAUACCCUGGUAGUCCACACAGUAAACGAAGAAGACUCGCUGUUUGCGAUAUACAGUAAGCGGCCAAG
Molecule: ribosomal RNA, 659 nt
Filed under: uncultured bacterium
Lineage: Bacteria
Description: bacterial SSU rRNA
Rfam family: Bacterial small subunit ribosomal RNA
Source: RNAcentral